This 1087-nucleotide ribosomal RNA is filed under the name Streptomyces indicus. RNAcentral describes it as "bacterial SSU rRNA". It matches the Rfam family "Bacterial small subunit ribosomal RNA", at positions 340 to 1433 of the family's 1533-position model. The record is from RNAcentral. Lineage: Bacteria; Bacillati; Actinomycetota; Actinomycetes; Kitasatosporales; Streptomycetaceae.
UACGGGAGGCAGCAGUGGGGAAUAUUGCACAAUGGGCGAAAGCCUGAUGCAGCGACGCCGCGUGAGGGAUGACGGCCUUCGGGUUGUAAACCUCUUUCAGCAGGGAAGAAGCGCAAGUGACGGUACCUGCAGAAGAAGCGCCGGCUAACUACGUGCCAGCAGCCGCGGUAAUACGUAGGGCGCAAGCGUUGUCCGGAAUUAUUGGGCGUAAAGAGCUCGUAGGCGGCCAGUCGCGUCGGGUGUGAAAGACCGGGGCUUAACCCCGGUUCUGCAUUCGAUACGGGCUGGCUAGAGUGUGGUAGGGGAGAUCGGAAUUCCUGGUGUAGCGGUGAAAUGCGCAGAUAUCAGGAGGAACACCGGUGGCGAAGGCGGAUCUCUGGGCCAUUACUGACGCUGAGGAGCGAAAGCGUGGGGAGCGAACAGGAUUAGAUACCCUGGUAGUCCACGCCGUAAACGGUGGGAACUAGGUGUUGGUCACAUUCCACGUGAUCGGUGCCGCAGCUAACGCAUUAAGUUCCCCGCCUGGGGAGUACGGCCGCAAGGCUAAAACUCAAAGGAAUUGACGGGGGCCCGCACAAGCAGCGGAGCAUGUGGCUUAAUUCGACGCAACGCGAAGAACCUUACCAAGGCUUGACAUACACCGGAAACGUCCAGAGAUAGGCGCCCCCUUGUGGUCGGUGUACAGGUGGUGCAUGGCUGUCGUCAGCUCGUGUCGUGAGAUGUUGGGUUAAGUCCCGCAACGAGCGCAACCCUUGUCCCGUGUUGCCAGCAACUCUUCGGAGGUUGGGGACUCACGGGAGACCGCCGGGGUCAACUCGGAGGAAGGUGGGGACGACGUCAAGUCAUCAUGCCCCUUAUGUCUUGGGCUGCACACGUGCUACAAUGGCCGGUACAAUGAGCUGCGAUACCGCGAGGUGGAGCGAAUCUCAAAAAGCCGGUCUCAGUUCGGAUUGGGGUCUGCAACUCGACCCCAUGAAGUCGGAGUUGCUAGUAAUCGCAGAUCAGCAUUGCUGCGGUGAAUACGUUCCCGGGCCUUGUACACACCGCCCGUCACGUCACGAAAGUCGGUAACACCCGAAGCCGGUGG